This 71-nucleotide transfer RNA is filed under the name Loxodonta africana (African savanna elephant). It matches the Rfam family "tRNA". Rfam says of the family: Transfer RNA (tRNA) molecules are approximately 80 nucleotides in length. Their secondary structure includes four short double-helical elements and three loops (D, anti-codon, and T loops). Lineage: Eukaryota; Metazoa; Chordata; Mammalia; Proboscidea; Elephantidae. The record is from Rfam by way of RNAcentral.
GCUGCAGUGGUCCAGUGGUAGAUCUCCCGUCUUCCAUAUGGGAGAUCCGGGUUCAAUUCCUGGCCAAAGCA